This is a long non-coding RNA of Ictalurus punctatus (channel catfish), 990 nucleotides long. Lineage: Eukaryota; Metazoa; Chordata; Actinopteri; Siluriformes; Ictaluridae. The record is from Ensembl.
GUUUCCAUAAAAGUGAAUGCAGUCAUUAACUUUAAGGGUUUUUAUGGGUCUGUAUUAUUGACUUAAUGUUUAGGAUGCCAACAGAUGAUGAAUAGUUCAAAUGGCUCAAUUAUUAGACGGCAAUUAUUAGUAAAUAUUGUUGUCUGGGAAAAUGAUAUCCUAAAGUAAGAUGAAUUAUAAUGUAAUAAGAUGAAAAUGAAAAAAGAUCCUGCAGCUUUGAGCAUAAAAUGCCUUUGUGUUUGACUUCACAGCCGUCUCUCGGCAGCUGUCUGACCCCAUUCGGCCCAGAACAGAAAGGCAACACUCUGCUUCAAACUGCUAGGCCUUCUCAGAUUACUUCAUGAAUGGCCAUCAGCAGUACUCCCAUAAGCAGCUCCUGAAGAGACUAAAGCCGGCUCCUCCGGAGACCCAGUGCAGAAGAAGAGCUGUCAGUCACAGGACCUGUGGCCAGAAAUCCCAUCCCUGUUUUAAGGACCUGCACUGUUUGUUUUCAUGUGACUGAACAUGCUUCCCAGCAUGCCUUUGGGCUUCAGCAGUUUACAAAGGCUAUCUGUUUCACAGGUGCCAAUGGUAACAGCCUGGGGCUUAUUAUGGAGCACAUUUCUUAUGGUUAUUUGUCUGCCUGCAAUACCAGCAUAGGGUGUUAUGGCUUUAACCAGAAAUUUCCUACACCAUAUCUCUCUUUAUUUUCCUCUGUUUCUGUUUGUCUGCCAGUCACUUCUUGUUUUUCUUUCACUCAUUUUGUGACUUCCAUGUAGCAUCAAGCACAACACACAUUACUGGUGGCUCUAAUUUUGUCUACUUCUUUGUGUGUGUGUGCGUGUGUAGUUGUGUUUAUUUAUUCAUGAACAUACUAGUAGGCAGAGGUCAGCUCGUCACUCACAGGGACACAGCUGCAUGGGAAAAAUUAUAUCCUAAAAAGAAUAAUUCAAAGACUCAAACAAGUACAACACAGCAGUGCACAUUUUUUUUUUAUUAUUUUUUUUUUUU